UACAGAGGGGGCAAGCGUUGUUCGGAAUUACUGGGCGUAAAGGGCGCGUAGGCGGCCUGUUAAGUCGAACGUGAAAUCCCCGGGCUCAACCCGGGAACUGCGUUUGAUACUGGAUGGCUUGAGUUUGGGAGAGGGAUGCGGAAUUCCAGGUGUAGCGGUGAAAUGCGUAGAUAUCUGGAGGAACACCGGUGGCGAAGGCGGCAUCCUGGACCAAUACUGACGCUGAGGCGCGAAAGCUAGGGGAGCAAACGGG
This 253-nucleotide ribosomal RNA is filed under the name uncultured bacterium. RNAcentral describes it as "partial 16S ribosomal RNA". It matches the Rfam family "Bacterial small subunit ribosomal RNA", at positions 524 to 776 of the family's 1533-position model. The record is from RNAcentral.